AGGAUAAACGCUGGCGGCGUGCCUAACACAUGCAAGUCGAACGCGCUUUCGGGCUUCGGUGCGAGAGCGAGUGGCGGACGGGUGAGUAACACAUGGGUACCUACCUUGGAGUGAGGGAUACCGGCGAGAAAUCGCCGACAAUACCGCAUAGGCUUCUUCACAAGGGAAGCAAAGUGACGCGAGUCACGCUGUGAGAUGGGCCUGUGGCCGAUUAGCUAGUUGGGGGGUAACGGCUUCCCAAGGCGACGAUCGGUAGCUGGUCUGAGAGGACGAUCAGCCACACUGGGAUUGAGAACGGCCCAGACUCCUACGGGGGGCAGCAGUGAGGAAUUUUCCGCAAUGGAGGCAACUCUGACGGAGCAACGCCGCGUGCAGGAGGAAGGUUUUCGGAUCGUAAACUGCUUUUCGUCGGGACGAGCAAGGACGGUACCCGAGGAAGAAGCCCCGGCUAACUACGUGCCAGCAGCCGC
This 470-nucleotide ribosomal RNA is filed under the name uncultured bacterium. RNAcentral describes it as "SSU rRNA". It matches the Rfam family "Bacterial small subunit ribosomal RNA", at positions 26 to 518 of the family's 1533-position model. The record is from RNAcentral.